Molecule: non-coding RNA, 185 nt
Filed under: Andreesenella acetica
Lineage: Bacteria; Bacillati; Bacillota; Clostridia; Peptostreptococcales; Natronincolaceae
Source: RNAcentral
UAAAAAAUAUAUAUUUUAGGUGUUUCAUGGGAAACUUAAAUGGGAAAGCGGUGAAAUUCCGCUGCAGCCCCCGCUACUGUAAGUGAGGAUGAAAUCGACAACGGCCACUAAAAAUUCAUUUUGGGAAGGCGUCGAAAGUAAAUUGAUUCACAAGUCAGGAGACCUACCUAAAAUUUGCAGCAGCC